This 447-nucleotide ribosomal RNA is filed under the name uncultured bacterium. RNAcentral describes it as "bacterial SSU rRNA". It matches the Rfam family "Bacterial small subunit ribosomal RNA", at positions 355 to 825 of the family's 1533-position model. The record is from RNAcentral.
UGGGGAAUUUUGGACAAUGGGCGAAAGCCUGAUCCAGCCAUGCCGCGUGAGUGACGAAGGCCUUAGGGUUGUAAAACUCUUUCGUCGGGGACGAUAAUGACGGUACCCGAAGAAGAAGCUCCGGCUAACUUCGUGCCAGCAGCCGCGGUAAUACGAAGGGAGCUAGCGUUGUUCGGAAUCACUGGGCGUAAAGCGCACGUAGGCGGAUAGUUAAGUCAGGGGUGAAAUCCUGGGGCUCAACCCCAGAACUGCCUUUGAUACUGGCUGUCUCGAGGUCGAGAGAGGUUGGUGGAAUUCCUAGUGUAGAGGUGAAAUUCGUAGAUAUUAGGAAGAACACCAGUGGCGAAGGCGGCCAACUGGCUCGAUACUGACGCUGAGGUGCGAAAGCGUGGGGAGCAAACAGGAUUAGAUACCCGAGUAGUCCCUGAGCGGGCUGGCAAGGCGCAU